Podarcis lilfordi (Lilford's wall lizard) is the source of this 83-nucleotide non-coding RNA. Lineage: Eukaryota; Metazoa; Chordata; Lepidosauria; Squamata; Lacertidae. The record is from the annotation of a GenBank genome assembly.
GCCAGCAAGGUAUUGUAUAGCUCAGCCAGUAGAACAUGAGACUCUUAAUCUCAAGGUUGUGGGUUUGAGCUCCACAUUAGGCA